Molecule: long non-coding RNA, 631 nt
Filed under: Brassica rapa (field mustard)
Lineage: Eukaryota; Viridiplantae; Streptophyta; Magnoliopsida; Brassicales; Brassicaceae
Description: long non-coding RNA (BRAP_LNC008077)
Source: RNAcentral
CUCAGUUCUUCAUUGUCAGCUAAGAGCUGAGCGUUUAUGGCCGCUUGGUCUUGACCUACAUCUCCCAUAGUUCUCUGCAAAGAAACUUCAAAGAAAGAUUAAAAGGCAAAGGGGGGUGUUAAAUAGUUGCUUGGGUCGGAUACUUGGAGUAUCGACCAAGGUAAGAGUAAAUGCAAGAAUUUAUGGUAAAAAUCGAAUCAAGUUGAAAAAAAAAAGGAAAGAUGAAUAUUUAUUUAUUUUUUUUUGAUUUUCGAAAACUUGGAAAGAAAGUAAAACUUCUUUAAAAAAAAAAAAAAAUGGAAAAACUUGGAGAACAAUCCGAAAUUUUUUUUAAAAAAAAGGAAAGUAAAUAUUUUUUUUUUUUUGAAUGGUGACGGCUAGGGUUUCAGAAAGAACUGAGUUUCGCAGGAAACUUCAGCUCUGAUACCAAAAUGUUGUAGGCACGGGUCGGAGGGUCGAACAGACGGACGGACGCACGGACGGAUGGCCGUUCCGCGGUUCAGCUUGCCUCGGACAGAUGGUACUGGCCGGUUCGUCUCUUGCUUGCGAUCGAACCUGAAACAGAUAGGAACCUUAAUGAGUUUUUAACAGGAACAAGAACAGGAACAAGAUAUGAUUCUUUUGGUUUUUU